GUUGGAAUGGCCGAUAAAGGUAAUAAAUUGUAAAUUUAUGCAUGAGAUGAUUUCUUCCAACA
This 62-nucleotide transfer RNA is filed under the name Chilecicada sp. PL492. RNAcentral's name for it is "tRNA-Tyr". Lineage: Eukaryota; Metazoa; Arthropoda; Insecta; Hemiptera; Cicadidae. The record is from RNAcentral.